CCCCGGCAGUUCCAGUUCCGAUCCGCAUACGGGCCCGAAUACUACUCUACACUAAUCACUGCCUUCGGCUUUUUUCGUUACGCGCUCUUCAAGUGGUUUGACCUGUGAUGACCUUUUGUUGCUACUGAAGCAAAUAUGGCCGACCAGUGAUGAAUAAGGAUCAUCUGUUAUCAACUUUACCAUUAUACAUGAAUAAAAACGAUAACUCUAUGUCAACCAGAAGGACUUUGAACACAGUUAUUGAAUUAGUUUCCUUGGAGACUUUAACAGUAAUUGUUAAGACUUGGAACAAGACAGAAUGAAACUGUGAGAAAGUUUACAUUUAUACAUGUACAGUGUACAUGUAGCUUCAGUAUGAAUCAAUUGAUACACCAUCACAAUUUUGUCAACCUGAUCAUUGGAAGUUUACCAAGUUAUAUGAGACGCAUUGAAAGCCUGUAGAGAUUCUACAUGUAUACAUAAAUGGAAUAGACUCAUACUUACAAAUAACAAGACUAAUGCACUCUCAAACAAGGAUUAUUCACGUUUCAAUGAGUGAAUUGAAGUGCAUGCUAGCUGCGCAUGGAAGUUUGU
Long non-coding RNA from Mytilus trossulus (common blue mussel), 573 nucleotides. RefSeq lists it as uncharacterized. The record is from RefSeq and is a predicted model, not a curated record. Lineage: Eukaryota; Metazoa; Mollusca; Bivalvia; Mytilida; Mytilidae. The transcript is spliced from 3 exons.